GAUGAACGCUAGCGGCAGGCUUAAUACAUGCAAGUCGAGGGGCAGCAGGUCUGUAGCAAUACAGAUGCUGGCGACCGGCAAACGGGUGCGGAACACGUACAGAACCUUCCUUCGAGCGGGGAAUAGCCCAGAGAAAUUUGGAUUAAUACCCCAUAGUAUUGUGGAGUGGCAUCACUUUACAAUUAAAGAUUUAUCACUUGAAGAUGGCUGUGCGGCUGAUUAGGUAGUUGGCGGGGUAACGGCCCACCAAGCCUGCAAUCAGUAACUGGUGUGAGAGCACGACCAGUCACACGGGCACUGAGACACGGGCCCGACUCCUACGGGAGGCAGCAGUAAGGAAUAUUGGUCAAUGGACGAAAGUCUGAACCAGCCAUGCCGCGUGGAGGAUGAAGGUCCUCUGGAUUGUAAACUUCUCUUAUCUGGGACGAAAAGGAUCUUUCUAGAUC
This 446-nucleotide ribosomal RNA is filed under the name uncultured bacterium. Its description in RNAcentral is "bacterial SSU rRNA". It matches the Rfam family "Bacterial small subunit ribosomal RNA", at positions 28 to 467 of the family's 1533-position model. The record is from RNAcentral.